AUUGUGAAGCAGCUAACCACCACUACCAGAGCAGCCCUGCAGCUCCUGAAUGGGUAGUCCCUGUGACCUGCACUGGCAACAAUAACAACCACCAUCUCCGACAUUAAUACCACUCUGACAACGCUGAAGAACCUUUCCUUUUGAGAUGAGUCAGAAAGCUCAAAGAAGAAUAGAAGUGGAAAAAAGGAGGAACAGAGAGAUGAAGUGACAUGCCCAAGUCACACAGCAGCUUAGUGACAACUGGAACACCACCCAUGGCUCUUGAUACAAAGGGCAGUGCCAUGAUUGCUAGACCAUGCUACUGUACCAUUUGCCAAUGACAAUUUUAAGAAAUGAAUGAAUAAUAAAAAUUACUAGGAGCUUGGUAUUCUAAUUUCUAUAAAUAUAUAAUGUCUUCAAGUUUACACAGGGAAAAAAUAACUCAAAAGAUGCAAAUGUUUUCCUUUAAAGCUUGAGUUUAAUCUGCAAUCAGACACUUAGCUUACUCAAAAAAGCAUAGGAUAUGAACUCUUCUGACCGAUAAUAAAAUAAAAUAGGUAUAUUAUUUUAGUCCCAGGUUGUAUCUACAUUAGGCUCUGCCAAAAAUAUCCCACCAUUGCUACUACUGGUCAGUGGCAGCAGUAGUAUAGAUAGGGUCUAAGGAAGCCACUGGCAUUUUAACCAUAGAGUCUUCUAACCAUGUUUAGAGCAGUCUAGAUGACCUGGGGAUUAAAACAUCAACAACUACCAGCACCUUAUUUAGACUUGGGCUCCAACUGUUGUUGCCACCAGCAGUACUGAAUCAGCAAUAGCAAUAGUACAAAGAGUCUCAUGAGACCUGUUCCUGAGAGGUGCUGAGCUUCUGCUGUUCUUAUCAGCAUCGUUGUGAUAUUUAGAAAUUCUGAAGCUCAGGGCAAGAUUAGUUCAUUAAACAGAUGUGAAGUCUCUGGUCUCACUAUCUGGUAUCUUUUAUGAUUUUCAGCUAUAAGGGUAUAAGCUAUACCAUCAUAUGCACUUUUAGAUUGGUAAAACUGCAUUCACGGUAGGAAGUUGUAUUGCUUGAACUACACUAGAACCUCAGAGUUAUGAACACUAGAAUUACAAACUGACCAGUCAACCACACACCUC
Molecule: long non-coding RNA, 1107 nt
Organism: Gopherus evgoodei (Goodes thornscrub tortoise)
Lineage: Eukaryota; Metazoa; Chordata; Testudines; Testudinidae
Exons: 3
Source: RefSeq, a predicted model, not a curated record